UAGUCCACGCCGUAAACGAUGUUCACUCGCUGUUUGCGAUACACAGUAAGCGGCUGAGCGAAAGCAUUAAGUGAACCACCUGGGGAGUACGAUCGCAAGGUUGAAACUCAAAGGAAUUGACGGGGGCCCGCACAAGCGGAGGAACAUGUGGUUUAAUUCGAUGAUACGCGAGGAACCUUACCUGGGCUUAAAUGUAGAUUGCAUAGAUUGGAAACAGUCUUUCUCUUCGGAGCUAUUUACAAGGUGCUGCAUGGUUGUCGUCAGCUCGUGCCGUGAGGUGUCGGGUUAAGUCCCAUAACGAGCGCAACCCCUACCGUUAGUUGCCAUCAGGUCAUGCUGGGGACUCUAGCGGGACUGCCACCGUAAGGUGAGAGGAAGGUGGGGAUGACGUCAAAUCAGCACGGCCCUUAUGUCCUGGGCUACACACGUGCUACAAUGGUCAGUACAGAGGGCAGCCACUACGCGAGUAGGAGCGAAUCCUUAAAACUGAUCUC
RNAcentral lists this ribosomal RNA (494 nucleotides) under uncultured bacterium. RNAcentral describes it as "bacterial SSU rRNA". It matches the Rfam family "Bacterial small subunit ribosomal RNA", at positions 791 to 1289 of the family's 1533-position model. The record is from RNAcentral.